CUGGGUGUAGUUCAGUGGUAGAGUGCAUGCUUUGUACACGUGAGGCCCUGGGUUUGAUUCCCAGAACCAGA
This is a non-coding RNA of Ictidomys tridecemlineatus (thirteen-lined ground squirrel), 71 nucleotides long. Lineage: Eukaryota; Metazoa; Chordata; Mammalia; Rodentia; Sciuridae. The record is from Rfam.